RNAcentral lists this ribosomal RNA (261 nucleotides) under uncultured prokaryote. RNAcentral's name for it is "partial 16S ribosomal RNA". It matches the Rfam family "Bacterial small subunit ribosomal RNA", at positions 524 to 784 of the family's 1533-position model. The record is from RNAcentral.
UACGUAGGUGGCAAGCGUUGUCCGGAUUUAUUGGGCGUAAAGAGCGCGCAGGUGGUUGAUUAAGUCUGAUGUGAAAGCCCACGGCUUAACCGUGGAGGGUCAUUGGAAACUGGUCGACUUGAGUGCAGAAGAGGGAAGUGGAAUUCCAUGUGUAGCGGUGAAAUGCGUAGAGACAUGGAGGAACACCAGUGGCGAAGGCGGCUUCCUGGUCUGUAACUGACACUGAGGCACGAAAGCGUGGGGAGCAAACAGGAUUAGAUA